CAUGCAAAUUCUCAAGAAGACUCACGCUCGUCGCGCUGGCAGGCGGACGGAAGGGGUGCCGAUGGCAAUGCUCGAAUCAAAGAGUUGAGUCGAUUGAAUAGAUCAGAGGAGGCACUUGCACUUCUUCGAAAACAAUUCCAGAUC
Molecule: non-coding RNA, 144 nt
Filed under: Aurantiochytrium limacinum
Lineage: Eukaryota; Bigyra; Thraustochytrida; Thraustochytriidae
Source: RNAcentral